CUCUUCCUCUGUCCAGUCUCUCAGUAGUGGUCCUCUCUGCUCUCGUGGGGGAGGCUGGAAUAUCUGGUUUCCUGAACAAUGGAAAUUCAAUCAGGAAAUGGACCCGAGGUGUCGAAAGAAGGAGAGUACACUCGUUUGUCUCCUCUCGCCUUGCGGCCUGCGGACGCUAAAGAGGACCUGGGGGAGAACAGGCGCAUUGAGAAGUUUGACAUCCCACUCAGCAGCCUGAAGCAAAUGUUUGAGAAACCGCCGACGCAACAUGUGGAAGUGAGUGGUUCAUAUUCGUCUAGUGGGAGAGUAGCAGACAAAUAUAGUGGUUUAGGAGAAAAUAUGUUGAAGCAGGACUCAAACUUUGGUGGAUCUGCGGGCAGCGCAGGUGUUUCACCAUCAAGGGAGGGACACGCCGACGGUGAGGCCGAUACUGUGCCUCUCAAGCAGAGACUGGCCUUAUACCAAGCUGCCGCUACCAAGGAGGAGAGAAGCCCAUCUGUGGUAUUUACCAGCAUGAACACGCACACAAAUACGCAUGAACAUAUGCUGGCCCACACACUCAUAUCAUAUUACCUGUAGUGAAGGAAAAAUAGGCACAGAUUUCCUACUUCUUGUCUAAGGCCUUCCUCUUCCUAUUUAAUAUUUACAAUUCAGAAAAAAAUCAUUUCAGCCCAUAUAAGCAUGCUGUACUUAAUGGCUGUGUAAUACAUAAUAGAUGCAUAAAAUACACAUUAAAUGGAUUUGCACUUUAUUGAUCCCAUGUGGGAAUUUGGGUUGCAUUAAAUAAAGUGAGAUGGCAG
RNAcentral lists this long non-coding RNA (791 nucleotides) under Sinocyclocheilus anshuiensis. RNAcentral's name for it is "lncRNA (ENSSANG00000004341.1)". Lineage: Eukaryota; Metazoa; Chordata; Actinopteri; Cypriniformes; Cyprinidae. The record is from RNAcentral.